CCUACGGUGAGCAGCAGUGAGGAAUAUUGGUCAAUGGCCGGAAGGCUGAACCAGCCAUGCCGCGUGAAGGUCAGUGCCCUAUGGACGUUAAACUUCUUUUGUGCGGGAGCGAUAAUGGUCACGUGUGGCCAGACGAGAGUACCGUACGAAUAAGCAUCGGCUAACUCCGUGCCAGUAGCCGCGGUAAUACGUGGGAUGCAAGCGUUAUCCGGAUUUAUUGGGUUUAAAGGGUGCGUAGGCUGUGAGGUAAGUCAGCGGUGAAAUGCCCCCGCUCAACGGGGUGAAGUGCCAUUGAUACUGCCUUGCUGGAAUGCGGAUGCCGUGGGAGGAAUGUGUGGUGUAGCGGUGAAAUGCAUAGAUAUCACACAGAACACCGAUUGCGAAGGCAUCUCACGAAUCCGCGAUUGACGCUGAUGCACGAAAGCGUGGGUAUCAAACAGGAUUAGAUACCCUUGUAGUC
RNAcentral lists this ribosomal RNA (460 nucleotides) under uncultured bacterium. RNAcentral's name for it is "partial 16S ribosomal RNA". It matches the Rfam family "Bacterial small subunit ribosomal RNA", at positions 338 to 795 of the family's 1533-position model. The record is from RNAcentral.